CCUCAGCCAAGCCAUCGUCUGAUGUAAGCUUAAGUCACGUGUGGAGGGUUAAUGUCUUCAGACUGGUCUGUUCAGCUGGAGUGAUUGUGAGUGCUGCUCUAGUGCUCACCGCUACGUACGCAUUCAAUAGAAAAGUUGGCAGAGAUAAAGGAGCAGACGCUGAGGAUUGUGGGUUAAAGAUUGAUCAGUCAUCUCCCAGACCAAUGAUACAGAAAAGCCCAAAGGACCUGGAAUCAGGCGGCCCCCAGAAUACAGCAGGCGAUUAUGAAGCGGCAUCACUGUAAUCAUACAACUUUAGACCUGCAAUCCAAUAACAAAAAUACUGGGGACUGAUACUGCUUCAAUGCAGUGUACUGGAACAUGAAAUUAUUGGAUUUGUGUCUGCUGUUCUUAACAUUCUGCUAUCGAGACUUAGUGUAAUGUAGUGCAGUGGUCGUGCCAAAGGAGCUGGGCUAGCUGUGGCCUUCAGCAAGGCUCUUCACAUAAAGUUGCUCAAGGAACAAUGGCCUUUGUAAUAUACUUGUCAUAUCUUUGGAUAGAAGUAUCUACUAAAUUAAUAAAUAUGACGCAUUCUCACCAAUAUGCCUCUUUUCUUGUGUUUAAAUAUUUUAUUGCCAAUACAGUAUACAGUAUGUCCAGUUUAAUUAUGAAGAAAUAAAACAAUAUGCUGGAGAUUACUGAAUUGCAAAUGGGAAAUUACUGAAUCCCGAAUAAUCUUUAGGAAAAAUGAGCACACAUGUAAUAAUGA
This is a long non-coding RNA of Sardina pilchardus (European sardine), 748 nucleotides long. RefSeq lists it as uncharacterized. The transcript is spliced from 3 exons. The record is from RefSeq and is a predicted model, not a curated record. NCBI's taxonomy places the organism in Eukaryota, Metazoa, Chordata, Actinopteri, Clupeiformes, Clupeidae.